This 824-nucleotide ribosomal RNA is filed under the name uncultured Flavobacteriaceae bacterium. Its description in RNAcentral is "bacterial SSU rRNA". It matches the Rfam family "Bacterial small subunit ribosomal RNA", at positions 56 to 876 of the family's 1533-position model. Lineage: Bacteria; Pseudomonadati; Bacteroidota; Flavobacteriia; Flavobacteriales; Flavobacteriaceae. The record is from RNAcentral.
UGCAAGUCGAGGGGUAUAGGGGCUUCGGCCUUUAGAGACCGGCGGAUGGGUGAGUAUCGCGUAUGCAAUUUACCUUGUACAGGGGAAUAGCCCAGGGAAACUUGGAUUAAUGUCCCAUAGUAUUAUUUAAUGGCAUCAUUUUAUAAUUAAAGAUUUAUCGGUACAAGAUGAGCAUGCGUCCCAUUAGCUAGUUGGUAUGGUAACGGCAUACCAAGGCUACGAUGGGUAGGGGCCCUGAGAGGGGGAUCCCCCACACUGGUACUGAGACACGGACCAGACUCCUACGGGAGGCAGCAGUGAGGAAUAUUGGACAAUGGGCGAGAGCCUGAUCCAGCCAUGCCGCGUGCAGGAAGACUGCCUUAUGGGUUGUAAACUGCUUUUGUACGGGAAGAAACACCUCCACGUGUGGGGGCUUGACGGUACUGUACGAAUAAGGAUCGGCUAACUCCGUGCCAGCAGCCGCGGUAAUACGGAGGAUCCGAGCGUUAUCCGGAAUCAUUGGGUUUAAAGGGUCCGUAGGCGGGCGAUUAAGUCAGCGGUGAAAUUCUGCAGCUCAACUGUAGGACUGCCGUUGAUACUGGUUGUCUUGAAUGGAUGUGAAGUGGCUGGAAUAUGUGGUGUAGCGGUGAAAUGCUUAGAUAUCACAUGGAACACCGAUUGCGAAGGCAGGUCACUAACAUUUCAUUGACGCUGAGGGACGAAAGCGUGGGGAUCAAACAGGAUUAGAUACCCUGGUAGUCCACGCUGUAAACGAUGGAUACUAGCUGUUCGGUGCACAUUGGUGUGCUGAGUGGCCCAGCGAAAGUGAUAAGUAUCCCACCUGG